CGUAGCUCAGUUGGAUAGAGCAUCGCUUUCCUAAAGCGUCGUCAGCACCGCCCCACUAUCGCCCCUGAGGGCUCAGAAUCGGCGAUUCUGGGCCA
RNAcentral lists this transfer RNA (95 nucleotides) under Planctomycetota bacterium. RNAcentral describes it as "tRNA-Arg". The record is from RNAcentral. Lineage: Bacteria; Pseudomonadati; Planctomycetota.